This 202-nucleotide long non-coding RNA is filed under the name Elaeis guineensis (African oil palm). RNAcentral's name for it is "long non-coding RNA (EGUI_LNC055958)". Lineage: Eukaryota; Viridiplantae; Streptophyta; Magnoliopsida; Arecales; Arecaceae. The record is from RNAcentral.
GCCAAUUUAUUGAUGUCUAAGGAAGGUAAUGGGGGGACCCCCAUCGAUCUCCACUUACCUAGCCAACUUGAAAGAUUGAGUCUUGAAUUAGGUUGCUUAGCGAUUUGAUUUAGCCCAUGCCAGUUAGAUCGGUCAUAUGAUGACUGAUUAGAUGAGACCUAAACUUAAAAUUCUCCAUAAAUAUUAAGUCCAUAGGUCUUCC